Dromaius novaehollandiae (emu) is the source of this 2277-nucleotide long non-coding RNA. Ensembl lists it as uncharacterized. NCBI's taxonomy places the organism in Eukaryota, Metazoa, Chordata, Aves, Casuariiformes, Dromaiidae. The record is from Ensembl.
CAAUCCCAGCAGAUGGAGGAAAAAAAUGUAUAUAAACGAUAUAGGCUCGGAUAUUGGACCAGAGGAGAAAGAUCAGUCCCAGGAGGAUGUUGGUAAAGGAAAGGAGGCGGCUCUCGGUUGCUCUGCCAGUGUAAUGAUGGUGCUCACACAUGUAGGACUCCUCGGGUGCGGGCUCUCCUUUGGUCUCUGGGCUAAACUGGCUACAAGGCAUUCAAGGCCAAGCACCCUCGGCUGUCACGGACCUGCACCCGCCGGGAGAGGCUCACGCUGGCUGUGGACCAGCAGUGUUUGCCCUGAGCGUAGAUUCCCAGAUGCAAGAAGCGAAGGUGCUGAAAGAGGAGGGGGAAGCCCCGGCGCCGGCCGCUUGCGUGGGCACCGCGACCCGGCCUCGGUCCCUGCCCGCCCGGCUCGGCCGUGGCGCACCGCUGCCGCACCGCACCGCACCGCACCGUUCCUGCUCGCCCUCCCCCCAGUCUGGUGUUUACUCUCUGCUUCUCUGCUCUGUCCAGAAGCACCGCCGCCGACCGAGGCGAAGCCGGGGAGGACUGCUGUUUAAAAGGAGCCCGCUGAACGACGUUUGUGUUCCCGAAACCCUUCCUGGCAUCUGUAAAAUCUGAGAGGACAAGCUGGCACAAUGGACAGAGAAAAGUAGGACUUAAGAGAUAGCCCAAGGAGGCCUGAGACUUUUUGUUGGCCACAGGGCCCAUAAAUUAUCUUGGCAGCCCUGUUUUAGUGUUAGACGAGCACAGGACUCACGUCCAUCACAGGGUCUGGAGGAGAGGCAGCAACAAAGGAACUGCUGUGCAGGAGGGAAAUGAGGGGAACCUCACUGAACCCUCACUCAGCAGGUUUUAUGAGAUGUAACACUACUUUAAUGUGCCAUUAUAUCUACAUUUAGAAAAAGGGUCAUAACAUAGAUUGGGCUGCACUGCUAAACAAUUCUGUCACAUAAUUGUUCUCAAACCAACCUCCUGCUGAGGGUCUCGCAGUAACUUCCCUAUCACACUGAUACUGUGCUACGCUUGAAUCCAAAGUAAGCUCACAAAGUAAAGGGGGAAAAGGAAAAAGCGACGUAGCUCUGAGUGGCAAUACUGAUGGUUACAGCAUGCAUGAAUGAAAUGCUUGAAAUAAGCAGGAGCACUUCAGUGUCUCAGACAAUUCCGUAUCUAGGCGUACUGCUUUGGAUCAGGUAAAAAGCCUUAUCCUCUCUCUACAAAUUCCUAAAUUCAAUAGAGUUUGAAUCAUGUCUUAAGACAAAAAUACAAAUUAAUUUUUCCAACUAUUAAAUGGAGAGAAAAACAAAAGCAGAUGAACACCAACCGUGAUGUGGAGUGAGGCUGGAGAGUAGAAACGAGCAUAGUAUUUAACUCAGCUGGAUUCGUUUCUAAGCUUUGUUUUACAGUUAGGAUUUUUGAUUCACAUUGGUCAAAGGUAUAGAUAUUUUCUUACUGUUUCCAUUAAUUACUAGGGCAGAACUCCUAGGAGCUUCAGGCACAGACUGGAAUCCCACCAUCCUGGGCAAUAGAUCAGCACAGGACACAAAAAUGAUGCUUACCAUAAAGUAUUUGUGAUCUAAAUAAGGUCAAUUGUGUGGUAUUUGACUCCAUUCAUAUAGAAAUAUACAUUGUAGAAUAUAUAUAUAUAAAACUUAUAUUCAUUAUAUAGAUCUAUAUGUAUAUAUACAUAGUACUGACUUCAGCAGAUUUGGUGAGUUUAGAAUGCAUAUUUUUAAUCCCCAACUUCUAAAUCGUCUGAAAUUAGAACUGUAAGAUUAUAUUUUAAAAAGGAAAAUUAAAUAUGGUUGGAUUCACUUUUCUGGUUUUUUGAUACCAGAAUCAGGGAAUCUCCUUGCAAGGGGAAGGGCUAACACAUACUCUACUGCGGUCAAGAAUUCUAGUAACACCCCAUUAAUCAGCUGAACUUCAAGAAACUCCCUUAAUAUCCUUGAGGAAAGGAGCCACUACAGUCCUUCAGUACCACAGACUGAGGCUCUCCUGUGUUCUGCAGAACUUACCUUCCUCUGUUUGAAAAUGGAAGUUUCUGUCCUCUGGUUUGGAGCUAGCCUCCACGCAGAGCUAAUCAGUGCGUCGCUGUAUCGUUUGCUCUGCAGCCCAACUGAAACAGUGCAACACCAAGAGAUGUGUGAACUUUUCCACUUAUUGUAAUGAAGUGUUAGUUACAAAACAGACUUUUGGUGAUUUAAAUUGCCUUGUGUGCAUCAGACUGUGAAAGAGGUUUUACAAUAAAUCAUGAAUAAGUUAGAAAUACUUUAUUUUU